This 400-nucleotide ribosomal RNA is filed under the name uncultured bacterium. RNAcentral describes it as "bacterial SSU rRNA". It matches the Rfam family "Bacterial small subunit ribosomal RNA", at positions 355 to 767 of the family's 1533-position model. The record is from RNAcentral.
UGGGGAAUAUUGCACAAUGGGCGAAAGCCUGAUGCAGCGACGCCGCGUGAGGGAUGACGGCCUUCGGGUUGUAAACCUCUUUCAGUAAGGAAGAAGCGAAAGUGACGGUACUUGCAGAAGAAGCGCCGGCUAACUACGUGCCAGCAGCCGCGGUGAUACGUAGGGCGCAAGCGUUGUCCGGAUUUAUUGGGCGUAAAGAGCUCGUAGGUGGUUAGUCGCGUCUGCUGUGAAAACUCGAGGCUUAACCUCGAGCUUGCAGUGGGUACGGGCUGACUAGAGUGCGGUAGGGGAGACUGGAAUUCCUGGUGUAGCGGUGGAAUGCGCAGAUAUCAGGAGGAACACCGAUGGCGAAGGCAGGUCUCUGGGCCGUAACUGACACUGAGGAGCGAAAGCGUGGGGA